This 156-nucleotide ribosomal RNA is filed under the name Dioszegia crocea. RNAcentral describes it as "5.8S ribosomal RNA". It matches the Rfam family "5.8S ribosomal RNA". Rfam says of the family: 5.8S ribosomal RNA (5.8S rRNA) is a component of the large subunit of the eukaryotic ribosome. It is transcribed by RNA polymerase I as part of the 45S precursor that also contains 18S and 28S rRNA. The record is from RNAcentral. Lineage: Eukaryota; Fungi; Basidiomycota; Tremellomycetes; Tremellales; Bulleribasidiaceae.
UAACUUUCAACAACGGAUCUCUUGGCUCUCACAUCGAUGAAGAACGCAGCGAAAUGCGAUAAGUAAUGUGAAUUGCAGAAUUCAGUGAAUCAUCGAAUCUUUGAACGCAGAUUGCGCCCAUUGGUAUUCCGAAGGGCAUGCCUGUUUGAGUGUCUU